CACAGCUCCCUGCAAACUCGUAAGAGGAAGUAUAGGGGGUGACACCUGACCAAUGCCGGAAGGUCAACCACGGUGGGUACACAUACUUCGGUGUGUGUGCUGGACUGUGUAAGCCCCGGUGAAUGUCGGCGAUAACUAUAAUCGUCCUAAGGUUCGCGGUACGAUCUCGGUCGCACCGCGAAGGACUAGGACGGUUAUAGGGUAAAUAGAAAAAAACACCAAGUUACCUGAUCAUGGAGCAAUCUGUGAUUUGUCCAACAUGACUCAAAUGAGAGACCAUACGUCAUAGCCCCGACGCCGAAAGGUAUCGGGGACAAGAUAUGGUCCUUCGCGUGCUGAAAGGAAACGAAGAGCGUAAUUCCUUGUCGGGUAAGGAAGUUGCCCGUUCUGGAAGCGAUUCCAGAAGCAAAAUCGGCUAUAACGGUGAAGUCCUCGCUGGAGCUCCACACAAGGGUGGCGCAGUGAAAGCAGGAGAAUACCGUGGGAAGUCGCCCAACCACACUUUCGAGUGUGAUGGAUUGACCCCGUAUCGACUUUAGUUGUUGGCAAUGUGCUGCAACUAGGAUGGAGCGUAAUUGGAAUAUAAAUUCGCAAUACCUUCAUAAUACGCCGACGCUGAUAACAUUCUGUUGUCAGAUGAAGAUAUAGUCAGUGCCCGUAGAAAUACGGGAAGAACAUGAAGUUCCGACGUGCACGAAUGGUGUAAUGACUGGGAAACUGUCUCGAGGACUCGCUCGGUGAAAAUGCACUUCCGGUGAAGAUGCCGGAUACCCAUAGUUAGACGAAAAGACCCCAGGAGCUUUACUACAGCUUCGUAUUGGCAUUACGUGCUGCAUGCGUAGCAUAGAGGUGAGAGAUUGAAGCAUCGGUUUCGGCUGGUGUGGACUCGACAGUGAAAUAGCCUUCUUGCUGUGUGUAAUGUCUAACCCCGUUGGGAUCCAACGGGGGACCGUGCGUGGCGGGUAGUGUUGGUGGGGCGCUAUCCUCCUAAAGAGUAACGGAGGAGUCUAUUAAGGUUCUCUAGCCGCGAAUGGAAACCGUGGCGAUAGUGUAAUGGCAUAAGAGAGCUUAACUGAAAGGGGUACAUCCCGAUCAGAUGCGAAAGCAGAGCAUAGUGAACUUCUAGUACGCCUUAGAUGCGGCUAAAAAUUAACGGAUAUAAGUUACCCUGGGGAUAACAGGCUAGUUCCGCCCAAGCGUCCUUAGCGACGGCGGAGUUCGGCACCUUAACGAAUCGGGGUGCCAUGCGAGUAAUCGCAUGAGUCUGGCUGGUAAUUUGGCUCU
This 1284-nucleotide ribosomal RNA is filed under the name bacterium. RNAcentral's name for it is "partial 23S ribosomal RNA". It matches the Rfam family "Bacterial large subunit ribosomal RNA", at positions 1814 to 2597 of the family's 2925-position model. The record is from RNAcentral.